AACCCUCGCUGUGUGUUACAAGUGUCACACGGUACUGCCGGUCUUAAGCCGGAGGAAGGUGGGAUGACGUCAAGUCAGCAUGGCCUUUAUGUCCUGGGCCACACACACGCUACAAUGGCCAACACAAUAGGUUGCUAAGCCGCGAGGUGGAGCCAAUCCUCAAAGUUGGUCUCAGUUCAGAUUGCAGGCUGCAACCCGCCUGCAUGAAGGUGGAGUUGCUAGUAACCGCAGGUCAGCUAUACUGCGGUGAAUACGUUCCCGGGGCUU
RNAcentral lists this ribosomal RNA (267 nucleotides) under uncultured Leptolinea sp. Its description in RNAcentral is "partial 16S ribosomal RNA". It matches the Rfam family "Bacterial small subunit ribosomal RNA", at positions 1100 to 1382 of the family's 1533-position model. Lineage: Bacteria; Bacillati; Chloroflexota; Anaerolineae; Anaerolineales; Anaerolineaceae. The record is from RNAcentral.